This 73-nucleotide transfer RNA is filed under the name Candidatus Taylorbacteria bacterium RIFCSPHIGHO2_01_FULL_44_110. RNAcentral's name for it is "tRNA-Thr". It matches the Rfam family "tRNA". From Rfam's summary of the family: Transfer RNA (tRNA) molecules are approximately 80 nucleotides in length. Their secondary structure includes four short double-helical elements and three loops (D, anti-codon, and T loops). Further hydrogen bonds mediate the characteristic L-shaped molecular structure. tRNAs have two regions of fundamental functional importance: the anti-codon, which is responsible for specific mRNA codon recognition, and the 3' end, to which the tRNAs corresponding amino acid is attached (by aminoacyl-tRNA synthetases). tRNAs cope with the degeneracy of the genetic code in two manners: having more than one tRNA (with a specific anti-codon) for a particular amino acid; and 'wobble' base-pairing, i.e. permitting non-standard base-pairing at the 3rd anti-codon position. Lineage: Bacteria; Candidatus Tayloriibacteriota. RNAcentral also lists the same sequence under 5 other names. The record is from RNAcentral.
GCCAUCUUAGCUCAGCUGGUAGAGCGCCACUUUUGUAAAGUGGAUGCCCCCGGUUCGAAUCCGGGAGAUGGCU